AAUGGCCGCGGUAUUAUGACCGUGCAAAGGUAGCAUAAUCAUUAGUUUCUUAAUUGGAGACUGGAAUGAAUGGUUUGACGAGAAAUUGACUGUCUCUUAAUAAUUUUUAGAAUUUAACUUUUAAGUUAAAAGGCUUAAAUAUUUCUUUUGGACGAGAAGACCCUAUAGAGCUUUACAUUAAUAUAAUUUUUAUUAUAUAGAUAAUUUCUUAAUAUUAAUUUAUUUUGUUUGGUUGGGGUGACUUGAAGAAUAAAUAAACUCUUCAUUAUUAAAUCAUUGAUUUAUGUUUAUUUGAUCCAAAAUUUUUGAUUAUAAGAUUAAGUUACCUUAGGGAUAACAGCGUAAUCAUUUUUGAGAGUUCUUAUCGAUAAAUUGGAUUGCGACCUCGAUGUUGGAUUAAGAUUAAUUACGGGUGUAGUGGCUUGAUAAUUAGGUCUGUUCGACCUUUAAAUUCUUACG
This 459-nucleotide ribosomal RNA is filed under the name Oedaleus decorus. RNAcentral's name for it is "partial 16S ribosomal RNA". It matches the Rfam family "Bacterial large subunit ribosomal RNA", at positions 1926 to 2600 of the family's 2925-position model. Lineage: Eukaryota; Metazoa; Arthropoda; Insecta; Orthoptera; Acrididae. The record is from RNAcentral.